UACGUAGGUGGCAAGCGUUGUCCGGAAUUAUUGGGCGUAAAGCGCGCGCAGGCGGUCCUUUAAGUCUGAUGUGAAAGCCCACGGCUCAACCGUGGAGGGUCAUUGGAAACUGGGGGACUUGAGUACAGAAGAGGAAAGCGGAAUUCCACGUGUAGCGGUGAAAUGCGUAGAGAUGUGGAGGAACACCAGUGGCGAAGGCGGCUUUCUGGUCUGUAACUGACGCUGAGGCACGAAAGUGUGGGGAUCAAACAGG
Molecule: ribosomal RNA, 253 nt
Filed under: uncultured bacterium
Lineage: Bacteria
Description: partial 16S ribosomal RNA
Rfam family: Bacterial small subunit ribosomal RNA
Source: RNAcentral